GGUCGGGUAGCUCAGUUGGUAGAGCACUUGCCCGCGGAAGGCAAAGGUCCCGAGUUCGAGUCUCGGUCCGGCACA
This 75-nucleotide transfer RNA is filed under the name Schistocerca americana (American grasshopper). RNAcentral's name for it is "tRNA-Pro". It matches the Rfam family "tRNA". From Rfam's summary of the family: Transfer RNA (tRNA) molecules are approximately 80 nucleotides in length. RNAcentral also lists the same sequence under 2 other names. The record is from RNAcentral. Lineage: Eukaryota; Metazoa; Arthropoda; Insecta; Orthoptera; Acrididae.